Molecule: long non-coding RNA, 337 nt
Organism: Hippopotamus amphibius kiboko
Lineage: Eukaryota; Metazoa; Chordata; Mammalia; Artiodactyla; Hippopotamidae
Exons: 3
Source: RefSeq, a predicted model, not a curated record
AAUGAUUAUGCUUCUAAGACAUCUGUUCAUCUCAUCAUUUUUGUGUCCUCCUGUGGUUUAUGCAAUUGAGACCAAUGGAUGUUCCUGGGGGUGAAAAUGUGAAUAUAUAAAAUAUCUCAUUAAAAGAAAAAGGAUUCUGAUGACUGCUCCUCCAAGUGAUCUUCGCCCCUCAGACCAUGGUGGUUGUUCGUUUGGAAAUUUCUCCCUUCUUCAGAGAGAGGACUAGUGUGUGAUUUCAAAUGCUGCUGCUUCUUUUGGCUUUAAAAUAAAACAGAUUUAUUUAGAUAUAAUUUGCAUACCAUAAAGUGCACCUGUUUUAAGUGUUCAAACCUAUGAA